This 483-nucleotide ribosomal RNA is filed under the name uncultured bacterium. Its description in RNAcentral is "partial 16S ribosomal RNA". It matches the Rfam family "Bacterial small subunit ribosomal RNA", at positions 28 to 507 of the family's 1533-position model. The record is from RNAcentral.
GACGAACGCUGGCGGCGUGCUUAACACAUGCAAGUCGAACGCUGAAGCUCAGCUUUUGUUGGGUGGAUGAGUGGCGAACGGGUGAGUAACACGUGAGUAACCUGCCUCCUUCUUUGGGAUAACGCCCGGAAACGGGUGCUAAUACUGGAUAUUCACUGGUCUUCGCAUGGGGGUUGGUGGAAAGGGUUUUUCUGGUGGGGGAUGGGCUCGCGGCCUAUCAGCUUGUUGGUGGGGUGAUGGCCUACCAAGGCUUUGACGGGUAGCCGGCCUGAGAGGGUGACCGGUAACAUUGGGACUGAGAUACGGCCCAGGCUCCUACGGGAGGCAGCAGUGGGGAAUAUUGCACAAUGGGCGCAAGCCUGAUGCAGCGACGCCGCGUGAGGGAUGGAGGCCUUCGGGUUGUGAACCUCUUGCGCUAAUGGUCAAGCCGCAACAAUGGUUGUGGUGAGGGUAGUGGGUAAAGAAGCGCCGGCUAACUACGUG